UCGGGAAUUUUGGGCAAUGGGCGAAAGCCUGACCCAGCAACGCCGCGUGAGGGAUGAAGUAUUUCGGUAUGUAAACCUCGAAAGAAUGGGAAGAAUAAAUGACGGUACCAUCUAUAAGCUCCGGCUAACUACGUGCCAGCAGCCGCGGUAAUACGUAGGGAGCAAGCGUUGUUCGGAUUUACUGGGCGUAAAGGGCGCGUAGGCGGCGCGGUAAGUCACUUGUGAAAUCUCUGAGCUUAACUCAGAACGGCCAAGUGAUACUGCUGUGCUAGAGUGCGGAAGAGGCAACCGGAAUUCUUGGUGUAGCGGUGAAAUGCGUAGAUAUCAAGAGGAACACCUGAGGCGAAGGCGGGUUGCUGGGCUGACACUGACGCUGAUGCGCGAAAGCCAGGGGAGCAAACG
Molecule: ribosomal RNA, 402 nt
Filed under: uncultured bacterium
Lineage: Bacteria
Description: bacterial SSU rRNA
Rfam family: Bacterial small subunit ribosomal RNA
Source: RNAcentral